RNAcentral lists this ribosomal RNA (474 nucleotides) under uncultured bacterium. RNAcentral's name for it is "partial 16S ribosomal RNA". It matches the Rfam family "Bacterial small subunit ribosomal RNA", at positions 29 to 523 of the family's 1533-position model. The record is from RNAcentral.
AAUGAACGCUGGCGGCGUGCCUAACACAUGCAAGUCGAACGAGAAAGCCCGCAAGGGUGAGUACAGUGGCGCACGGGUGAGUAAUACAUAGGAAUCUGCCUCUGAGUGAAGAAUACCCUAGAGAAAUUUAGGUUAAUACUGCAUAAGCCCAGAAAUGGGGAAAGGUGGCCUCAAGCUACCGCUGAGAGAUGAGCCUAUGGCCUAUUAGCUAGUUGGUAGGGUAAAAGCCUACCAAGGCGAGGAUGGGUAGCCGGCCUGAGAGGGUGUACGGCCACACUGGAACUGAGACACGGUACAGACUCCUACGGGAGGCAGCGGUGGGGAAUCUUGCACAAUGGGCGCACGCCUGAUGCAGCGACGCCGCGUGAGGGAUGACGGCCUUCGGGUUGUAAACCUCUUUCAGCAGCGACGAAGCGCAAGUGACGGUAGGUGCAGAAGAAGGACCGGCCAACUACGUGCCAGCCGCCGCCGUAA